UACGAAGGGGGCUAGCGUUGUUCGGAAUUACUGGGCGUAAAGCGCGCGCAGGCGGUCUUCCAAGUCGGUGGUGAAAGCCUGGAGCUCAACUCCAGAACUGCCAUUGAAACUGUUAGACUUGAGUACGAGAGAGGUGAGUGGAAUUCCCAGUGUAGAGGUGAAAUUCGUAGAUAUUGGGAAGAACACCGGUGGCGAAGGCGGCUCACUGGCUCAUUACUGACGCUCAGGCGCGAUAGCGUGGGGAUCAAACAGG
Molecule: ribosomal RNA, 253 nt
Filed under: uncultured bacterium
Lineage: Bacteria
Description: partial 16S ribosomal RNA
Rfam family: Bacterial small subunit ribosomal RNA
Source: RNAcentral